UACAGAGAGUGCAAGCGUUAAUCGGAAUUACUGGGCGUAAAGCGCGCGUAGGUGGAUAUUUAAGUCGGAUGUGAAAUCCCUGGGCUUAACCUAGGAACUGCAUUCGAUACUGGAUAUCUCGAGUAUGGUAGAGGGAAGUGGAAUUUCCGGUGUAGCGGUGAAAUGCGUAGAUAUCGGAAAGAACACCAGCGGCGAAGGCGACUUCCUGGACUAAUACUGACACUGAGGCGCGAAAGCGUGGGGAGCAAACAGG
This 253-nucleotide ribosomal RNA is filed under the name uncultured bacterium. Its description in RNAcentral is "partial 16S ribosomal RNA". It matches the Rfam family "Bacterial small subunit ribosomal RNA", at positions 524 to 776 of the family's 1533-position model. The record is from RNAcentral.